AUCCAGCUGACUAGUCCAAAACAAGACGAAACGCGCGUUCUGGAU
RNAcentral lists this non-coding RNA (45 nucleotides) under Schistosoma mansoni. Lineage: Eukaryota; Metazoa; Platyhelminthes; Trematoda; Strigeidida; Schistosomatidae. The record is from RNAcentral.